GACGAACGCUGGCGGCGUGCCUAAUACAUGCAAGUAGAACGCAGUUGCGAACGGGUGAGUAACGCGUAGGUAACUGCCUCAUAGCGGGGGAUAACUAUUGGAAACGAUAGCUAAUACCGCAUACUGUGAGAUGGACCUGCGUUGUAUUAGCUAGUUGGUGAGGUAAAGGGUCACCAAGGCGACGAUACAUAGCCGACCUGAGAGGGUUAUCGGCCAACCUGUGAAUGAGAAACGGCCCAGAAUCCUAAGGGAGGCAGCAGGAGGGAAUCUUCUGCAAUGGACGGAAGUCUGACCGAGCAACGCCGCGUUAGGGAAGAAGGUUCUCGGAACGUAAAGAUCUGUUGUUAGAGAAGCGGUACCUAACCAGAAAGGGACGGCUAACUACGUGCCAGCAGCCGCGGUAAUUC
This 407-nucleotide ribosomal RNA is filed under the name uncultured bacterium. RNAcentral's name for it is "partial 16S ribosomal RNA". It matches the Rfam family "Bacterial small subunit ribosomal RNA", at positions 28 to 526 of the family's 1533-position model. The record is from RNAcentral.